CGACCGGCGCACGGGUGAGUAACGCGUAUGCAACCUGCCUGAUACCGGGGUAUAGCCCAUGGAAACGUGGAUUAACACCCCAUAGUACUUUUAUCCUGCAUGGGAUGUGAGUUAAAUGUUCAAGGUAUCGGAUGGGCAUGCGUCCUAUUAGUUAGUUGGCGGGGUAACAGCCCACCAAGACGAUGAUAGGUAGGGGUUCUGAGAGGAAGGUCCCCCACAUUGGAACUGAGACACGGUCCAA
RNAcentral lists this ribosomal RNA (241 nucleotides) under uncultured bacterium. Its description in RNAcentral is "partial 16S ribosomal RNA". It matches the Rfam family "Bacterial small subunit ribosomal RNA", at positions 92 to 334 of the family's 1533-position model. The record is from RNAcentral.